RNAcentral lists this long non-coding RNA (4060 nucleotides) under Panax ginseng (ginseng). RNAcentral's name for it is "long non-coding RNA (PGIN_LNC015229)". Lineage: Eukaryota; Viridiplantae; Streptophyta; Magnoliopsida; Apiales; Araliaceae. The record is from RNAcentral.
UUCAAUUGGAAUCUUAAUUAAAGAAAUUAGUUCAUGACAGAAUUUAAAACCAUCAAUCCUUUGAAAAUCAUCCUUAAAGAAUUACACAAAUUGAAAAAUAGGAGAAGAAGAAAAACUCUGGAGCCACUCCUUCAAUCUUCAAGUAAUCCCUUGCUUAGUCUUCAAUUGUGGUAGAUCUCCUUCUUUAAUUCAGCAAAGUAGCUUUUAUAUCUCCUUCUCAUCUCCCCACAAUCCUUUUCCUGAUCAACAACUUAAUUAAGUUCCUUAUCUAAGUCAACUCUUCAUCACAUGCGCGCAUCUGGUCAACAUGAGCCGGGCUCCAGCGCCCCGGCGCUGAGAAUAGUACUAGGACUAGCGCCCCGGAGCUGUAGUUCAAAGAAAUUAUAGUUUUGCCACUCGUAUGCUAAAAUCCCAAAUUUGUCCCUACUCCGCUUCAAUCUACAAAAUAAACACGAACACAGUGAAAACUUAUCUAAAAAAUGUGAGAACAACAACAAUGUAAGCCUAAAAUGUAUCCAAUUCAUGGGUAUAUUCCCCAUUCAUCAAAUACCUCCAAACUUAAACCGUUGCUUGUCCUCAAACAACAAACACAAUGCAACGCAAAAACUAAAUGUAUCAUGCAAAUGCACCUAAAACUAUCUACAUGGUUGUAAUUCCAGCAAUCGAAUAGCACCCCGUAUAUUCAUUAGGCCUCAGAAAAAUCACAAUAACAUGAUAAUACAUCAUGUUAAGACAGAUCAAUAAUAUCCCAACAUUCAACAAAUCCAAAUAUGUUAUUACUGAUAUCGUGUGUGUGUUCAACAACCAUGCUAACUAAUAAAAAGCAAAAUACGACACAUAAUAGAUUUCUUAGAAGGCAUCCUAUAGUGCAAUUUCAGAAACUCCUUAAAUAAACUAGAUUUGGCCAAAAUCAAACAUUUACCAAAGUCCAAGGAUCAACAUGGAAUACUUAUGCUUACUAAUAUAUUUUAUUUAUUUAUUUAUUAACGGGGGCUUUUUGCACUUUUCCUGCUUUAUUAUUUUUCUUUUUCUCAUGGCUAUGCAGUGUCCUAUUCCCUUAGGCUUUUCAGUGUUACCUUAACGAGCUUUCGACCAACGACUCCCAAGCCAUUAAGACCUUAGGGCGCUAGGUGUAAAGACAAUCCCCUCGGGCUUACUUACUCAAGUAACAAAGGCCACAAAACUAGACAAGAAUGCCACGGUUUUUUUUUUUUAAAGCUUAUAUACUCCAAAUAUUUUUUCCCCAACUUGAAUUUAUGUCUAAAUUCAGUCAUCACUGGCUAUUCAAAUUAUUCCUUCAUUUCACUAGCAUUCAUCUUUUAGAAGUCUAUUAUCUAUCCAUUUAAACUUUCUUAGCCAACAUGUUAAUUUUUCAAAAAUUGUUAUCCUGAUAAUAUCAGUGUCAAACAGAUAAAGAUUUAAAUUAUGUCAAGAAAAUCACUCACUAGCUUAACAAUCCGUACUAGACUUGUUCAUGCAAUUUUAAUUUCAUCAUUGGCCCCAAACAUACGUAACUAUUAAACAGCUGGAAUUAAUAUGCAAUCCUAAAUGCAACACUUAACCAACAAUAUAAACACAACUAUCCACAAUCUACUAACAAACUACUAAUGCAAAUAAAAUUUAACUACCCCCAAACUUAGCAAGAGCAAUGUCCUCAUGCGAAAAAUAGAACAAUAUAAAACAGAGGACUUCCCUGACGAGCUUAUUCCUCGGGUGGAGCAUCAUCAUCCUCGCUCAUCUCUUGAUCGGAGGGGGGAAACACAGGCAGAACAGGAGCAGUAGGGAACUGGCUAAGAUUAACGCCCGGGUACAGUUGAGCGUUCAUCGCAUUCUACGUAGAAAAUUGGUCGACCAAAUAUUUGUAGAUGACAUCUUGACGUUCAGAUAGGCGGACAUUCUGAGAUUCGAGAUUGUAAAACCAAUCGUUAAUUUCACGCUGCACGGCUUUAGGAACAACACCACGGUGAGCAGCAGAUGAGGACCCGUAGCUAAGAGGAGCUGUGGCUGGUGGAUUUGGUUGAGCAUCAACUUAAGGAAUUAUAAAACCCAAUCCACGUGGGUGAUUUGCACCACCAGUCCACACCCUGUAUCGGAUAAUCAUCUUAUGGUCCAAAACCGGCAUUGGGGGCUGUAUCAUUUCAUCGGUCUUCCAUUUGACCCCAAAUUUAGAACAAAGUGCGCAAAUUAGAGAGGGGUGUGGUAAUCCUCCCAUGGUACCUCCUCACGAUGCCCACAGAAUGGAUUGUUGAAUAAUAAGACCCACAUCCAUCUUCAAUCCCUGAAUGAUCGAAUACAACAACACUGAUCUUUCCUUAGUAACAUGGCUAACAUGUGUGCACGGCAUUAAUUUCGCGCAGAUAAAUGUAUACCAAGACUUUCCAUAUAAACUGAGACGCGAAUGCGGGAAAGUCAUGCUGCCCCGUUUAUGCAUUAUCUACGUGGUGUCGGGUUGACACAGCUCGCGAAUGAGCACUUCAUAGUCAGGUCAUUGGCUCAGAAAAUUGGCAUACUCAUUGUUUUGAUCCUCCAAAUGCAGUUGAUAACAUCCGUUAAUGUCCCCUUCGCCGAAUUUGACUGUCUUGCCAUGCACAUACACUCCAUAAUGGUAGUGCUCAGAUACGUUGGCGUAGAACUCUUUAAUGAUUGCAAUCACUGCCGGGUCCGGUUGUUCAGUAAGCGUGAACCAAUUUCUUUCCGCGAUCAUCACAGCCAUGUCUCCAUCCUUUGAUUGGUCGGGCCUUAAUCCGCAUCCGGGAACUAGUGAGCGUUCUUGAGCUGCGGCACAGACGAACCGGCGGCUGUCAAAUUUUUGAGGUGCCGAAGCGGAUUCAGACCCAUCUCCGCGUUGACGCUUUGAAGCCAUCUAGAUAAUUCUGAAAUGGAAAACACACCCACGUAUUAGAAUAGUGCCCAAAUAUGAUACGGAAACACGUAACCAUCUCACGACCCCCAAACUUCAAAAUAGGACCACCUUGUGUAACAGGAUUUUGGGGGUAUGGAUAACCACAUAUUAGCAAGUCAUUAGAAGCUCUGAACCACUGAGCCUAAAUUAUCCAUAACAUGAGCAGAUAGCACACUUGUUUAAUGAAGAACAAGGGCUCUAUCAUCUAAAUCAUAGGUUCAACAAUCUAGCAAGAUAUUCUUUUUAACACAGAGAUGUUAAACUGUCAUGAAUGCAAGAACAACUAGUUAAUGUAAGUGUGGUAUCGCUAGGCCAGAAUGUGUGUGGACUCAGAAUCCAGGAACAUUAGCUCAAAAUCCAUUGAUACAUUAUUCAUUAGAAUUCUCGGUUGGGUUGAAAUUGGCCAUCAAAAGUCACUGAAGCAAGUCAAAGAACACCUGGUAGGCACUAUUUAAUUCUCUGUGGGCACAACUAUGCAAAUAGCAUUCCAAACCCCAAGCAUAUCAAUCCACAUGAAACACAAUAACAUAGGUGUACAAACCCAAUCAAUCAGUGCGUCGCACACAUACACUAGGAAACAGCCAGAAGAAUCGAGUGGAAUACGUACUCUCAAAUCCGUAUAAAACUAAAAAUAAAAAAUUUAAUCACCAAUAGGAGAAACAUAUAACUCACGAGUAAAAAGAUUCGGUGCAACAUAGAAUUGAAUUUAUUAUCAUACAUACCUGGGAUCGUGGAAGAAUAGACCGAAAUCAAGUAGAAAGGGAUGAAUUGGAUCCAAGCGGGGUGUAUUAAGAGGUAUGCAGUCUAUAUUUUGUGAUACAAAGUAGGUCAGUUACCCGAGAAUGGAAACGGUUACAACGUGUAUAAUUGGGGGAGGAAGUUAAAUGGAUUACGGAGUGUGACUAAAAGUGAUUUUUUUUUCAAACCUGGUUGGGGCGCUGAGAGUUUAGCACAAACGAGCGUUGGGCCGCUGCUAGGCAGAGGACUCUAGCGUCGGGGCGCUGAGUUUGGCCUAGAAGCGAGUGCCAGGGCGCUGAGGUUGUCGAAAAGCUACUGAGGUGCAGAGCCGGGGCGCUGUAGACCUUGUAUACUGGGCGCCGGGGCGCUAGAGCUGCUAAUUGACUGACUCCCUUUUUAUUUUCCUCUCCUAGGAUUGAC